AUUGAGCGCUGGCGGCAGGCCUAACACAUGCAAGUCGAACGGUAACAGGAAGCAGCUUGCUGCUUUGCUGACGAGUGGCGGACGGGUGAGUAAUGUCUGGGAAACUGCCUGAUGGAGGGGGAUAACUACUGGAAACGGUAGCUAAUACCGCAUAACGUCGCAAGACCAAAGAGGGGGACCUUAGGGCCUCUUGCCAUCGGAUGUGCCCAGAUGGGAUUAGCUAGUAGGUGGGGUAACGGCUCACCUAGGCGACGAUCCCUAGCUGGUCUGAGAGGAUGACCAGCCACACUGGAACUGAGACACGGUCCAGACUCCUACGGGAGGCAGCAGUGGGGAAUAUUGCACAAUGGGCGCAAGCCUGAUGCAGCCAUGCCGCGUGUAUGAAGAAGGCCUUCGGGUUGUAAAGUACUUUCAGCGGGGAGGAAGGGAGUAAAGUUAAUACCUUUGCUCAUUGACGUUACCCGCAGAAGAAGCACCGGCUAACUCCGUG
This 490-nucleotide ribosomal RNA is filed under the name uncultured bacterium. RNAcentral describes it as "partial 16S ribosomal RNA". It matches the Rfam family "Bacterial small subunit ribosomal RNA", at positions 30 to 507 of the family's 1533-position model. The record is from RNAcentral.